GCGAAGACGAAGACAAAGACAAAGUGCGAACUUAACGUCUCAAGUCUCAACGACGCAUCUGUUUGUCUUUCCCACGCCGUCCAGCCUGAGCCACAGGCCCAUAGCGAAGGUUUGGAUUCUCAAGAGUAGCCGUUCGCGCAGCACAUCAGUCCUCAAAGGGUGUAUUGUCGAAUUUUUGGCGAAUUUUUUCGCGGCCGGGCAACGGACCGUCGGCAGAAAAAAUUGGAAUCUGAGAAUCUGGGAGACUAGGAUUCAGCCUUCAAGACAAGAAGAUGUUGGGUUCCUUGCCCAUAUUGCCGCUCCCUGCCCCACCAGAGGAUGGGAAUCUUGGUCCAUUGCCUCCUGCUCAGUUGACAGAAAAAGAUAUCGAUGAGCUUAAGUUGGUGAAUGAGGAGGACAAGAGCAAAAGUAAUUCAGCUCCAACUUCAGUUGCAACCCAUACAAGAACAAUUGGGAUUAUUUAUCCACCUCCUGAUAUCAGAAGCAUUGUUGACAAGACAGCUCAAUUUGUGGUGAAGAAUGGUCCAGAAUUUGAGAAAAGGAUUAUUCAGAGCAAUGCAGGCAAUGCAAAGUUCAAUUUUUUAAGUGCCUCAGAUCCUUAUCAUGCAUAUUAUCAGCAUCGUUUGUCUGAAGGUCGUGCACAGAAUCAGGAUUCUGCUCAACAGCAGCCUUCACAGCCACCAGAUUCAGAUGUUCCAGAAUCAACCCCUGCUGCACCUGCUGCUGAUGCUGUUGAUACAACAGCGAAGUCUGAUCCUUCUGCACAGUUUAGGACUGUACGCAAGGUUCUUGAGCCACCAGAAGCAGAGCAGUAUACUGUUCGGCUUCCUGAAGGGAUCACAGGGGAGGAAUUGGAUAUCAUUAAGCUUACUGCUCAGUUUGUGGCAAGGAAUGGGAAGACUUUUUUGACAGGGUUGACCAGUAGGGAGAUCAAUAAUCCUCAAUUUCAUUUUUUGAAGCCUACUCAUAGCAUGUUUAUGUUUUUCACUUCACUAGCAGAUGCCUAUUCAAAAGUCCUAAUGCCUCCUAAAGGCUUGACUGAUAAACUGAGGAAGAGUGCUACUGACAUGACUACUGUUCUAGAGCGGUGCCUGAAUCGGUUGGAGUGGGAAAGGUCACAGGAACAGGCUAGGCAGAAAGCUGAGGAUGAAAUAGAACAAGAGAGACUGCAGAUGGCUAUGAUUGAUUGGCAUGAUUUUGUUGUGGUUGAGACGAUAGACUUUGCUGAUGAUGAGGAUCAUGAUUUACCUCCUCCUAUGACCCUUGAGGAGGUUAUUAGGAGGAGCAAGAUGUCUGGUGUGGAGGAAGAAGAGUUUGUUGAGCCAGGGAAGGAGGUAGAAAUGGAGAUGGAUGAAGAAGAGGUGCAGCUUGUUGAAGAAGGAAUGAGAGCUGCUACCCUUGAGGAGAACGCUGUUCAGAAUUCUGAAGUUAUGGCAAUUACAGAGGACCAAGAGCCACCAAUGAGAAUUGUUAAGAAUUGGAAAAGGCCUGAAGAGAGGAUCCCUGCAGAAAGAGACCCAACAAAGUAUGUUGUCUCUCCUAUAACUGGUGAGCUGAUUCUGAUUAGUGAGAUGUCCGAACAUAUGAGGAUCUCUCUUAUUGAUCCCAAGUACAAGGAGCAGAAAGAGAGAAUGUUUGCAAAGAUUAGGGAGACAACCCUUGCUCAGGAUGAUGAAAUUUCUAGAAACAUUGUUGGGCUUGCUAGGACACGUCCUGAUAUUUUUGGUACCACAGAAGAAGAAGUUUCAAAUGCAGUCAAGGCUGAGAUUGAGAAGAAAAAGGAAGAGCCCAAACAAGUCAUAUGGGAUGGCCACACAGGUAGCAUUGGUCGCACUGCUAGCCAGGCAAUGUCCCAAAACAAUGCAGAAGAUCAGUAUGAUUUUGCAAAUGAUGCAAGGAAUCUUCCUGGCCCUCAAGCUCCACCCCCUCCCAGGCCUGGUGUGCCAUCAGUUCGACCACUUCCUCCACCACCUGGGUUGGCACUAAAUAUUCUUCGUCCUCCUAAUAGUUUCCCUUAUCCAACCCCUGGUAAUCCUGGCGUUAUGCCACCACCUCUUCCCAGGCCUCCUGUGGUUAACACAGUGCCUCAGGUGCAACCUCCACCUCCUAACAUCCCACCUAUGCCUGGGCAACAUCUUAUGGUAAAUCGUCCUCCAAUGCACCCGUCAAUGUCCAUGAAUGCUCCUAACAUUUCUUUACCACCACCACCUGGGUCUCAGUUUACACCUCUGGGUGUUCCUCGAGCCUUUGUUCCCCAUCCCAUGUCCCAGCCUGGGAUGAAUAUUGUCCCACCACCUCCAAUGCCCCAUGGAAUGCCUCCACCACCUCCACCUGAGGAAGCUCCACCACUUCCAGAGGAACCAGAGCCUAAAAGGCAAAAGCUUGACGAGUCUGUUCUCAUUCCUGAAGACCAGUUCCUCGCUAAGCAUUCAGGACUUGCCUGUAUCAGCAUUGCUGUGCCAAAUGUUGAUGAAGGAAAUCUCAAAGGGCAAGUAUUGGAGAUCACAGUGCAAUCCUUGUCUGAAACUGUUGGCAGUUUGAAAGAGAAGAUUUCUGGUGAGAUCCAGCUGCCUGCUAACAAACAGAAGCUGAGUGGAAAGGCUGGGUUUCUCAAGGACAAUUUAUCACUUGCAUAUUACAAUGUUGCACCUGGAGAAACACUCAAUCUUUCACUUAGAGAACGUGGUGGCAGAAAGAGAUGAAGAUUGUUAGUUGGCCAGGCCUUGGAAAGCUUUGUUUAACCCUUUUAAGUUGAUGGUAUGGUAAUCCAAUACAGAAUUGGCAUCUUGUUGCUCCUUUCCCAACUGAGGUGACAACUGAGCUUCACCUGCUCUGUAUUGGAGGGAAUUGUUCUUUCUCAAAUUUCAUGUUAUUGAUGUUUUCCUUUAUUAUACAUUUUUUUUUGUUUUUUGAAUUUCUUCUUAGCAUGUGGUAUUGUUGUGAUGUCUAGUAUAGAUUAUAGAAUGUGGGUUUCUUUUUGUAGGAGAUGGGGUUGUGGUAAGAGUACUGCCUUUGCUGACUGCUGAGAGCAUGCAUUUAUAUCCGGUGCAUUCUGUGUAUGUUUGUUCUUUAAAAACCUAUGCUAUGAAUUUAGUGUGAGCUAAGUGGAAUCUGAUGCUUUUAUGUCAGUUCACAAAAAUCUCACAUUUCAAUAGAUCUGGGGCCAGGAGACAAAGUGAUGACCAAUAGAGAAACUAAGGACAAUAACUAUUAAAUCAAGUUUAGUUCAGGGAAUAAGCUUAUAAUAGAAUAGUAUUUUCAUCAAAGUGUUUGCUCUAAAAUAUAGUCGAACUUCAAUUUCGUUUUUUUUCCAAUUAUAAAUCUCUUGUGUGUUAUUGGAAAGCUGCUUGUAUUUGAAAAGGUAGAAGUUUAUUUCUCAAUCCACACAAAUUUAGUGUUAGAUGUGAAAACUAUAUAUAUAGUUGUUACAUAUGAUACCCAACUGCUUGAAACUAGUAUAGUAUAUGCAAUACUGAAGUUGUGUAAUGUAGUAUAGAUGAGGUACUUUCAAGACUUUGUUAGGAAGAGACAUGACCUUAUGUACAAGAUUAUUUGCUUGCCUCUGUUUUUAUAUGGUUCAUUUCCCAUUCUCUCAUAUGUCCUUUACUAGCUUGCAUUUGGUGUGAGUUGGAUUAGUAUUCUGUUGAAACGCAUCAUAAGUCAUAACCUCCCAAAAUCGAACUAAGAGUACAUGUGUUCCUUGUUUCACUCAAUGAAGCGGACUGUUCCUUGCACCAUACAUCCUACACAGGACUAACUGAGUCUUUUCGUGCAUACCAUAUACUCUGUCUGAAAUUUUGAAAUCAUGAUGAUUUAUUUUUGUUCAACUCUCUCGUCUGCUUUGCUUGAUCAUUCAGAUCCUUACAUAUUAGCUUAUAUAUCUUGCUUGUGAUAGAUCAUGUAUGUGUGUGUGUGUGUGUUUGUGUAAAGUGAAAAUUUGAAAGCUGCUGGCGAGUUCUCAGAGAAGAAAGAUCAAUGGCUGUGGGGGCAACCUCAACCAAGAUGGCUAAGGAUACAAACUUGUAGCCUUUGGUCACGAGUUUGAAUCCAGCCCUUUUGGUUUGAGCCGGUCAGUUAUGGGCAACUUAGGCUGGUUUACCUCCUUGUGGUCCUUUGCCAGCUGGGUCACAAGGCCCAUUACUCGGUACACACCCUCGGGUAAUGGCUGCGGGUUUUCCUCGUCACCCCAAAAAAGAUCAAUGGCUUUAUGCAUUUCUGAGUGACUAGUGGGAAGUUAGUUAUUUUCAUUCAGAGCCAACAGGAGGUAUUAACUUAGCCAGAGAUUGAGGGAAGAAAAGAAGUGGCCUUAGUGGUGCAUGGCUCCUUUCACUUGCCUUCAGAGGCAGAUUUGGUUUUGAUCAAGCUGGCAGGAGGGGUCAAGAGACCCCGGGUGGUUAAGAAAUCCUUCUAGUGGCGAUAUUGUUGGUAUCACGCUCAAGAAGGUUCUUCAUCUCGUCUGGAGGGAGACCAAAAUUGUUGUGCCCCAUGAGGUGUUCUGGCCCAUGUUUGCAAGGUAGUCUGCACAUUGGUUGUCCUCACAAAACACAUGCAUGAUCUCACAGUCUUGAAAUUGAUUCAUGAUGGUUUUGCAAUCGUCAAUCAACGUGUGAGCUUCAGGCCUGGACUCCAUAUCUUUAUUCAAAGCUUGAACCAUUGCAUAUGAGUCGAUUUCGGCGAUGAUCUUUCUGAAGCCCCGAUUCUUUGUAAUGAGCAGGCUUUCCCAGAGACUCCACAAUUCCGCAAUGAAACUGUUGGUUAGACCAGUUCUUGAAGUAAACCCCACAAUCCAUAGGCCAUUGUGAUCGCGAAGGACUCCUCCCGUGAGUUGGAUUUUCUGGCGCCAUCUGAAUUGAGCUUAAUGGUCCCGUGAGGAGGAGGCCGCCAACUAACCCAGAUUUGCUUUCCCAUAACAGGCCCACGGCGUUUCCGGAGUACCUGAUCAUGAGUUUCCAUGGCGUCUCGGUUCGCAUAGUCGAUGAUGUUUCUCCCUACUGGGCGGACGUUGUUGAAGACCAAAUUAUUUUGAGCUUUCCACAAGUUCCAAAGAGUGUGCGUGAAACGGAGAUUCCAGAUGCUGUCGACAGAAUUCUGGAUGUCCCCUUUGUUGUUACGUUCAAUCCACUCCAGCAGAGGUGUGUAGGAUGCCGCAUUGAAUCCAAGCCGCCACAGAGCAGCGCCUGAAGAGGUGAUCAAGCUUUUCUUCACCAUCUCCACACGUCGAUGUCUUUCCGGGUUGACCAGCAGACUGUUUUUUGACACCUUCUAGAUGAAUAAUUUAAUUCUAUCAAUUUCCCACAUCCAGCCUUGAGCAGCUGACCUGCAAUAAGAGAAUAAGCAGAUUUAACAGAGAAGGAUCCCGUACCUGAGUGAGGCCACGACUAAGAGUCUUCUCGGCUUAGAUUAAUGGGAAUUGGAGUCGCCCGAAUCAAGUUGAGGACGUCAUUCGGCAGAAAGGGCUCCAAAGUAGAAAUAUUCCAAGUUCCAUCGUCGCGAAUAGCUUGGUUCACGCUCAUGUUUUCCAUGUCAUUUGGCACCACUACAUUCGGGGUAUCCACAAGGGCUUUAUCGCCCAUCCACCAAUCGCGCCAAAACUUAAUCGUGGUGCCCGUCCCUAUUCUCCAUUUCACGCCUUUAUCAAGGAUAGUCUUACCUAUUCUCCAUUACGGGGAUUAGCAUUAAGAAAAUCCGCACCUUUAAUGUAUUUGUCUUUAAGUACUUUGACCCACAACUUGUCCGUAUUGGUAAGCAUUUGCCAUGCUAGCUUUGUGAGAAAAGCCAAAUUAAAAUUCCUAGCUUUUCGAAUGGAUUUGCAAAUUCUUGACCAACUUACCGAAUGGAUUUUACGA
Molecule: RNA transcript, 5846 nt
Organism: Ipomoea triloba (trilobed morning glory)
Lineage: Eukaryota; Viridiplantae; Streptophyta; Magnoliopsida; Solanales; Convolvulaceae
Gene name: probable splicing factor 3A subunit 1
Exons: 7
Source: RefSeq, a predicted model, not a curated record